RNAcentral lists this long non-coding RNA (700 nucleotides) under Musa acuminata (dwarf banana). RNAcentral's name for it is "long non-coding RNA (MACU_LNC000860)". The record is from RNAcentral. Lineage: Eukaryota; Viridiplantae; Streptophyta; Magnoliopsida; Zingiberales; Musaceae.
GCGACGCGCCCUUCCUUGACGAUGAGGUCCUCGGCGGCGACGGCGUUGAAGAGCUUGACGUUGGGGCGGGCGAUGAGGCGGCUCAAGAUGGUGGAGGUGAAGAGUGCAGCGUGGCGGACCACGACGUAGCUGUCGGCCUCGUCGUACGGGACGCCGAGCUCGUCGAGGAAGAGGUGGGCGGGCUUGCGGACGACCAUGGCGGAGAAGAGCUGGCCGCCGAGCCACGCGCCGCCUCCUGGGGAGACGGACUGCUCCACGAUGGCCACGCGCACGGACGGGUCCUUGGAGAUCUCGUAUGCGCAGGACAGCCCCGCAGAGCCGGCGCCGAUGACCACCACGUCCGUAUCCGCAUAGCUGAUCAUGUCGGUCAUGUAGCGGCGGGUCAUCUCCCGGGAGACGAUGGACUCCUGGAUGGGCUUGAAGGAGAAGGAGCCAAGGUCAUACUUGGGGGCGGCCAAGGCGGAGGUGACAGACAGGGCGGCCUUGCCGCUGCCCGAGUGGGAUGGGAGGGGGGUAGCCGCCAGGCGGAGGCCACUGAAUGAGGAGCGGAGGUGGUGGUUGCCGGCGAAGAGGGACUUGGGGUUGGAGAGGAGGAAGGAGGUCGCCAUGGAUGCGGCCAUCGGAGGGAGCUCGGGAAGGGUAUGAGUUGGGGGUCUUGGAGAGGUUUAAGGAGGAUAAGAACGCGGUGGGAAGACGAGAG